AAACCCCGUUUUUGAUACAUGUGCUUGGAAGCUGUCGAGAGCAUCAUUGUUCAGGACAUUUUUCAAAUUCUUAUUGGUACAUACAGUAUAUAUAAUACCCCAGUUAAUGAGCCCUGCUAUCAUCUGUGCUUUUACAACUCCUGUGAAAGCUGAAUAUCCAUCAAUAAAAGUUCACCAUAUUCUUCUCUGAUGAGUAACCUUUAAAGGAAAAAAUGGGAAAACAUAAUACAGAAAGCAAAAAGAAAUUCAGACAAAGGAAAAGGAAAGAAAAGAGGCAAAAGAAGAAACAGCUUAAGAAAGCAAGUAUUGAAAAAAACCACAUUUGCCUCUGCAAUGCUUCAUCCUGUCCAGACAGAGCAACAAUGUCUUUUAUGUCUUCUUCAUCACCACCCCCAUCAUCAUCACCACAAUCAUCAUCAACAUUAUCACAACAAUCAUCAGUAAAACCAAAAGAUAAUCAGAAUUUAAUAACAUUC
Long non-coding RNA from Saccostrea echinata, 476 nucleotides. RefSeq lists it as uncharacterized. The transcript has 3 exons. NCBI's taxonomy places the organism in Eukaryota, Metazoa, Mollusca, Bivalvia, Ostreida, Ostreidae. The record is from RefSeq and is a predicted model, not a curated record.